RNAcentral lists this ribosomal RNA (637 nucleotides) under uncultured bacterium. RNAcentral's name for it is "bacterial SSU rRNA". It matches the Rfam family "Bacterial small subunit ribosomal RNA", at positions 202 to 842 of the family's 1533-position model. The record is from RNAcentral.
UAAAGAUUCAUCGCUGAUAGAUAGGCAUGCGUUCCAUUAGGCAGUUGGCGGGGUAACGGCCCACCAAACCGACGAUGGAUAGGGGUUCUGAGAGGAAGGUCCCCCACAUUGGUACUGAGACACGGACCAAACUCCUACGGGAGGCAGCAGUGAGGAAUAUUGGUCAAUGGGCGUAAGCCUGAACCAGCCAAGUCGCGUGAGGGAUGAAGGUUCUAUGGAUCGUAAACCUCUUUUAUAAGGGAAUAAAGUGUGGGACGUGUCCUAUUUUGUAUGUACCUUAUGAAUAAGGAUCGGCUAACUCCGUGCCAGCAGCCGCGGUAAUACGGAGGAUCCGAGCGUUAUCCGGAUUUAUUGGGUUUAAAGGGUGCGUAGGCGGCCUUUUAAGUCAGCGGUGAAAGUCUGUGGCUCAACCAUAGAAUUGCCGUUGAAACUGGGGGGCUUGAGUAUGUUUGAGGCAGGCGGAAUGCGUGGUGUAGCGGUGAAAUGCUUAGAUAUCACGCAGAACCCCGAUUGCGAAGGCAGCCUGCCAAGCCAUGACUGACGCUGAUGCACGAAAGCGUGGGGACCAAACAGGAUUAGAUACCCUGGUAGUCCACGCAGUAAACGAUGAUCACUAGCUGUUUGCGAUACAGUGUAA